This 361-nucleotide transfer-messenger RNA is filed under the name Candidatus Bipolaricaulota bacterium. It matches the Rfam family "transfer-messenger RNA". Rfam says of the family: Bacterial tmRNA, also known as 10Sa RNA or SsrA, is named for its dual tRNA and mRNA-like properties. Its role is to liberate the mRNA from a stalled ribosome. Lineage: Bacteria; Candidatus Bipolaricaulota. The record is from RNAcentral. RNAcentral also lists the same sequence under 1 other name.
GGGGGUGACCGGACUCGACGGGAACACCGAGGCCGAGGUAGCAAGCGGAGCUCCCGUUCGCUCCUAAAACCACGGGAACGGCAAAAUAAAUGCCGACUACGCUUACGUUCCUGCUUACGCCCUGAACUAGUGCGUAAGCCGUCCGCGGUCCCCUCGCCCGCGGGGGAUCGUUGGGCGUGACCCAAGCGGGCUAGCCCAAGGGCCCUGGCCCCGGGGCCGAGGGCGAGAACUUAUGGGGCUUGGGGCCGAGCGAUCCUGCCCGUGGGAGCGCGAGGCCCGAGAGGAAAAACACGGGCUAAGCUUGUAGAGGCCGAGGCCAAGGUGUUUUCGGACGGGGGUUCAACUCCCCCCACCUCCACCA